UCUUCACUUUCAUAGAUAGUUAACAAUUUGAUCACAUUUUUAGGGUUUCACUCUCAUCAAAUUUAUCAUCAAUUUGUACUAUGAGUUUCACAAAUUGCUAAAAGAAAAAAAAAUUAGUGAAAGGAGUUUCCAGUUUAAUGGCGAACACUAAACCUUCAUUCGCACUUGAUGGAGAUGGAGUCGAAGAAGCGAAUGGAUAUCAGAAGUAUGAAACAGAGCUUUUUGAGGAUACUUUAGUUAUUCGCAGUCCCUUCACAGAAACUGAGGUGGAAAUGAUCAAUUUGAAUGAUACUGAGAUUGUAGAGGAUUCAGAACCUGUAGAGGAUAUGACAAUUGAUGCAAAAUGUGAGUAUGAGACAGAAGUGGUGCUUGAUAGUGAGGACGAAGAAAUGAAUAAUGCAGGCAAAGUGACUGUUGGUGAAAGAUUUCUUCAGGAUGAAAGUAGUCCAGCAGUAAGCAAUUUGUCGGUGCUCUUCAGGAAGAGAUUGUCUAAGAUACCGUGUGAGCAAGCAAAUUCAAAAUCAAAUGCCGUCUCUUCUGGGAAAUCUGGUACUGGGGACGAAAGAGCUUCAAUUAAUGCUGAGAACUUUGAUGACAACAACCAUCUAUAUCACUCACCAGAGCCUGAGGAUUCAACCCUAGCGGCUUUAGGCUUCGUGGAUCAGUACUUGUCAUCACUAGAUAUGGACCUGUUUCAAGGAGUUCAAAAUGGAAAGAUCACUAGGGAGAAAUCACCUCAUGUCUCGAGUGCAAGAGGAUCAUUAAAUCUGGCUAAGAAACUUUACGCUCAAACUCAAAAUGAAGAUAAAGACCCUUUCAAAUGGGCUGAAAGUGAUCAAAGUAAAAAAGAAGCUGGUAUUUUCAGUAAAAAAAUUGAAGCAUCUUUCAAUUUUGGAAGCCCCGGAAUGACAUAUAAGAGAAGAAUACAAAAAAAAGGUAGUCAUUCUCAAAACCAAGGUAAAUGUGGUGCAAGUAAUAGAUGUGAUGAGAGUUUAGCCCGAGAACCAAGAAUAGCAGCUGACAAUAAUAACUCUCUCAAGGAAUUGGAUAAUGAGUCCUCUUCCCCAAGAGAGAAUGUUGAUAUUUAUUCUAACGUAGCACGUACAGAAGACGAUUAUGAUAUUGGCUUAGACACUCAAAUAGCUGCUGAAGCUAUGGAUGCAUUAGCCAAUCUACCCCCUGCUGGCUUUCAUUUCAGUGAUGCUCACCGAUCAGAGAAUAUGUCUGAUGCAUCUCUGAGUGAUUUGAAACAAGCCCAUCAGAAAAAUUCUCCAUUUAAAGAGAAUCCUGGUUCACAGCCUUUUGCACUAAAAACCUACAAGAGAAAUGUGUCUGCUUGUAGAUUUAGAAAAGUAACUUAUAGUUCCUCAUUUGAGCACUAUAACGAUCAGGAGGAGGGGAUUAUUAGACAUAGGAGGAAGGGAAAUUGUUUAGCGGCGGCAUAUCCAGGGAAGAUAGAUGUUAAGAAAAAACAUCUUGAUUUGUUUACUAGUACAUAUGGUGUGGCUAAGAAGAGCAGUAUGAACCAUCCGGUUGAAGUUAGUCCACAACUAUUUGCAACGAACAGUUUUUCAAAGACUGAUUCUUGGGCUUAUCCAAAAGGACCAAGAGGGAAAAGAAAGCGAGCUAAUGCUCCUAGAGUUUUGUGUGUCAAUGAUAAAGAAAACAAUGUCUAUUCCACUAGAAGUCUAGAAAACCGCGAUGAUCUUAAGAAAAAACAUAUUAAUUUAUCUUCUUGUUCAUAUGGUGUGGUUAGAAAGAGCAGUUUGAACCAACAGGUUGACGUUAGUCCACAACAUGCAACCAGCAGUUUUUCAAAGAUUGAUUAUUGGACUUAUCCAAAAGGAUCAAGAGGGAAAAGGAAACGAGCUAAUGCCCCAAGUGUCGUGUGUAUUGAUGAUAAAGAAAACAAUGUCUAUUCCACUAAAAGUCUAGAAGGUCGAGAUGAUGUGCAAAAAUCUUGUCUUCCACCAGUUUCAGCUGGUGAUGCUAUAAAAUUUGAAAACCUGCAUGAUAUGCAUCCCUUGUUGCUGGCACAUGUUGAAGUAUCAUCAAACAAGUGUGUUGUACAGUUGAGUUCAGAAGUUUCAGCUUCAGUUGCUCCAAGUGAAGGCAUACAAAUUUCCAAUGCUAACUGCAAUGAGCAUCACAAAAAGGCAUGUGAGAAAAACCGGCCAAAGUCUUCACUUUUGAAGGAACUUGUCAGAUUAGGAGUUCCCAAAUCUACGUCAGAAAUUAUGAGCAAAGAUCCGAGACCUCGAAAAGAUAUGACAAAUGUUCGAGUUCUAUUUAGCCAACAUUUGGAUGACACUGUCCUCAAGCAACAACAGAAGAUCUUGGCGCGUCUUAAUAUAUCUACUGCGUCAAGCUCAAUGGAAGCCACUCAUUUCAUAGCAGACAAGUUCACACGUACAAAGAAUAUGCUAGAAACAAUGGCUCUUGGGAACUUAGUAUUGACACACUUAUGGCUUGAAAGUUGUGGACAAGCCAACUGUUUUAUUGAUGAGAACAAUUAUAUUUUGAGGGAUAUGAAAAAGGAAAAGGAAAUAGGCUUUAGCAUGCCAGUUUCUCUUGCUCGAGCAAGACAAAAGCCACUCUUGAAGGAUAAACGAGUCUACAUAACACCACACAUCAAGCCUAAUAAGGAGGUGGUUGCAAGCUUGGUUACAGCUGUUCAAGGCCAGCUAGUGGAUCACAAUCAAAUAGUUGCAGACAAGAAUGAUAAUAUCUUAGAUGAUCUAUUGAUUCUUUCUUGUGAAGAAGACUUUGCAAUAUGCCGCCAUUUCCUUGAGAGAGGAGCUUCUGUUUACAGUUCGGAGCUUGUUCUGAAUGGAAUUGUAAUUCAGAAAUUGGAACUCGACAGUUGCCACACUUGAAGUUGUGUCUGAACUAGGUACGCAGUGAAGUUAUAUCAUCUCUAAAGUGAAGAAAUAAGGCUGGCUAUAUAUUUGCCCUUCAACAUUAGUGUGUUAAGACCACAAUGCACUUAAGGGUGAAAACACUCUUGUUCACUUAGAUAAAUUCGCUUUGAACUUUGUAUGUAUGACUUAGGAGUCCAUUAUUGAGCCUUGGAGAACAAGAAAAAUGCAUGGCAUAAACUGUUCGUGAAUCAAGUUUCAAAGAAUAAACUAGAUUGACGAACGGAUGCUACUUGCUCAGAGUAUCUUACAAAUGCAACUUAGACUCCUUACUUUACGUUGCUUUGAGGCAUGCUCAACUUAAAGUGUCUCAAAAUGACAGGAAUUAUGGAGUAUCAACUCACCUCCAUUCAAAUCUACAAUUAUCCGCUUCAGUAAAUUCAGUAAACUCUCAUUAGAAUGUGAUUGUGAUGCCGAGAAAUGCAUAUCUAAACAUACACUUAUUUACCUUUUGGUGGGGCUAAGUUCUAAUUUGUGAAGUCUAAAGAGUGAAACUGUUCAUUCUUAAACUUAUAUUUUUAUCUAUUGAAAUCAUUCAAUAUUUAAAGUUACGUGAAAGGU
Molecule: RNA transcript, 3479 nt
Organism: Lathyrus oleraceus (garden pea)
Lineage: Eukaryota; Viridiplantae; Streptophyta; Magnoliopsida; Fabales; Fabaceae
Exons: 10
Source: RefSeq, a predicted model, not a curated record